AACAUAAAAAAAAUUGAUAAACACUUUCCACAAAAUGUUAUCCUGCAUAACAACACACCCUAAAGCUACAAAAAUAAUAACAACAAUAAUAACCCUUUUGAUGGGGACAAUUAUGAUUGUCAGAAGAUGUUGAUUAUCCGGGCUCGCACAAGCUGUAUCUUUCUAAUAGGUUUGGUUUUUCUAUACAUCGUAAAACAAUCAGGUUUCUCAUCUUUAUUCUUCUUAUUCUUUCCGUUUCCUGAUCUCACAUUUAAAGUCCAUUGUAGCUGAUUAGCUAGUAUUACUGAUUGUUCUUUCUCAUAAUCUUAAGCGACAUGUUCAUCCCAUAUCUUUUUUCCUCUCAUUCUUACCAUCCUUUUGAUUAAUAAGUAACUAGUUUUGAGUAGAUCUAGCAAUAAAUGAUUUCGCUAGUGCAUUUGAGUAGAUCCAACCAUCUCUCUGUCUUUUCCUCAUUUGGAUUAAAGUUUAAAUCUAAGAGAAAGGAUGUUCAUCCAAAUUGGUAAAUGUGUGAGGCGUUUUGAAUUUUUAAUUGGGUUUGUUUUUGGGAAAAAUUCGAUCGGUUUCCCUCCGUUGGCAUAACACUAAUCCUUGGCCUAUAUAGUCUCUUUUUCUUCACACAACUAGGUAAGUUUUUUUUGGGGACGAGUGAAAAAAAAGGGAGAUCAAGUUCUUGUCCUUUUUAGCCUACGGUUGAAACUUUGGACUCUUAUUGAGUUUGGACUCUCGGGGAAAGGAAAUAUCCAUAAAGCUUAAGGAACAACAAUUAAGUUAUAUACUAAAUACGCUAAGAGAGGCAGAGGUGUUGGGAGUUUAAAUUUUUUCGAAUCAUUUCUUCGUUUUCACUGUUCGUCAACAUUUUCGGAGUCGCAUUUCGUUUCUGAGGGAGUUGCUGCCUCCUUGAUCUUGCUGCUGUCUUCGUUUGCUGCCCGGAGAAAGAAGUAAUUUUCUUCCUCAUAUUUCGAGUUGGGGCACGGAGGCCCAAAUUUCUUCCUUUCGAGUCAACUCAGGAUUUGAUGUACAAGCCGAGAAAAUUUGAGAUAUUAGACUAGAGAGUCCAAAUUUAUAUUUUUUAAUAUUGUAUUAUAUCAUUCUGGGGACUAAGUCCUUGUUGUUUUUUUUUAUCAUUAUUAUAUUUUGUUAGUUUAGUAGAGGUAAAAAUUGGGUCAAAAACACAAAAAAGAAAAAACAAGUCCAAAUACCGGUUCAAGCGAACCCAAAUCGGAUUUUGACCCAACA
Solanum lycopersicum (tomato) is the source of this 1236-nucleotide long non-coding RNA. RefSeq lists it as uncharacterized. Lineage: Eukaryota; Viridiplantae; Streptophyta; Magnoliopsida; Solanales; Solanaceae. The record is from RefSeq and is a predicted model, not a curated record.